Molecule: microRNA precursor, 205 nt
Filed under: Oryza rufipogon (brownbeard rice)
Lineage: Eukaryota; Viridiplantae; Streptophyta; Magnoliopsida; Poales; Poaceae
Description: MIR812 microRNA precursor family
Rfam family: MIR812 microRNA precursor family
Source: Rfam by way of RNAcentral
AAAAAGGCAAACCCUGGGUUUCCGUGUCCAACUUUGACUGUCCGUCUUAUAUGAAAUUUUUUUAUAAUUCGUAUUUUUAUUAUUGUUAGAUGAUAAAAUAUGAUUAAUAUUUUAUGUGUGACUUGUCUUUUUAAUUUUUUUUAUAUUUUUUUCAAAUAAGACGGACGGUCAAACGUUGGACACGGAAACCAGGGUUUGUCUUUUU